Long non-coding RNA from Pan troglodytes (chimpanzee), 1494 nucleotides. RefSeq lists it as uncharacterized. The record is from RefSeq and is a predicted model, not a curated record. The transcript has 5 exons. NCBI's taxonomy places the organism in Eukaryota, Metazoa, Chordata, Mammalia, Primates, Hominidae.
AGUCUUGCUCUGUCACCCAGGCUGGAGUGCAGUGACGCGAUCUCGGCUCAAGCAACCUCCACCCGCUGGGUUUAAGGGAUUCUCCUGCCUUAGCCUCCCGAGUAGAUUACAGGCAUGUGCCACCAUGCCCAGUAGUUGGGACUUCCACUAUGAUGCUGAAAGGAAAUGAAGAAAGGAGACAUCCUUAUUUUGUUCCUAAUCCUGGUGGGAAAGCUUCAAGUUUCUCAACGGACCUCCUGCAGAGCCCCUGUCCAUCUCCUUGUGCCUAAGCUACCACUCCUUCCAUAGUUCCAGGAGUACUUGGCUUAUAAGGAUGCCACAGGAAGACAGGAGGCCUCUUACACUGGAUGUGAAGCUAUGUCAUGGCACUGGCCAGUUUUGUUCAUCUUGGACUCACCAAUGGAACUGGCAGAUGGCAGGCACAGUGGAUACUGUGAUGAAAACGUCUCUGCGGUACUCACAGUUUCAUGCAGGAAAUAAGUAUGGCAAUAAUAAUAACAGUGUAAUAAGGAGAAAAGGAGAGAGCCAUCUGUCUUAGCCCACAAGGCUUUCUACAGUGAUAAGCCUUGAGCUCAGCACUGUCAGGCCAUGGCCAAAUUUGGAAGCUUGGAAAUGACACUCCAAGCACAGGAAAAGGCACAUGCAAAGACAUGGAAGUGAGGGAGAACUUUAUGUUGUUCUGCAGAUGUCAAAAAUGUCCCACAGGGCUGGAGCCCUGCAUGUAGGUCUGGGAGCAGCAACAGCGGACAGCUGUUAAGAGACCAGAUCACAGAAGUGCAGGUUGAGAAGAUAGAAUCGAUGCCCUUCAGGGACUCAGCCAGUCAUCAUACGGAUUGAUGUAGAGAUAUUCUCUACUAGCAUGCAUGACGUCCACUCUGAGUGUGCGAUUCCCGUCUGAGCAGACCUUUCCACGUUGCGGUCCCAACACACCUUAGGUAAAACAUUCAUCCUCCUGUUGCCAUCCUGUCCUGCAGCAAAACCUGCCCUCAGUCUCCUCCUGUGCUGCCAACCUUCAUGAGUCAUCAUCCAGCCAAUUCCAUGGCCAAACCCAGAAAUCUUCAUUGACUUUUUCCCUUCCCUUACACAUAGGCCCCUGCAAUAGAAUGAGUCCUAACUGUCACCUUUUCUUCAUCUUUUAAAGCUCUGCUAUCUCUCCAUCUAUCAGGGAUUAUUACCAUUGGUCUUCUUUUUUCCAUUCAUCCUCUGCACAACUGACAGAUUGCGUUUUCUAAGAUGAACUGUCAUCACAUCAGUGCCCAGGUUAAGUCCUUGCACAAUGCCCUGUAGCACUGGGGGCAACAUUUCAAAUCUUCGCUUCUCAUCCCAGUGCUUCUAUGACCUUGUCUCUAACAGACUUCAGCUGUUGCUGUUCCCCAACCAACAUGCAGGACUCUAGCCCUCUGGGACAUUUUUGACAUCUUUACCUACGUUGUGGACAUUACAAACUGGAAACCUUUCUGUACAUACAAAACUAAAAUCAUUCAUUGAAUGAUU